This 406-nucleotide ribosomal RNA is filed under the name uncultured Streptococcus sp. RNAcentral's name for it is "bacterial SSU rRNA". It matches the Rfam family "Bacterial small subunit ribosomal RNA", at positions 976 to 1382 of the family's 1533-position model. Lineage: Bacteria; Bacillati; Bacillota; Bacilli; Lactobacillales; Streptococcaceae. The record is from RNAcentral.
AGGUCUUGACAUCCCGAUGCUUAUUUCUAGAGAUAGAAAGUUACUUCGGUACAUCGGUGACAGGUGGUGCAUGGUUGUCGUCAGCUCGUGUCGUGAGAUGUUUGGGGUUAAGUCCCGCAACGAGCGCAACCCCCUAUUGUUAGUUGCCAUCAUUCAGUUGGGCACUCUAGCGAGACUGCCGGUAAUAACCGGAGAAGUGGGGAUGACGUCAAAUCAUCAUGCCCCUUAUGACCUGGGCUACACACGUGCUACAAUGGUUGGUACAACGAGUUGCGAGUCGGUGACGGCGAGCUAAUCUCUUAAAGCCAAUCUCAGUUCGGAUUGUAGGCUGCAACUCGCCUACAUGAAGUCGGAAUCGCUAGUAAUCGCGGAUCAGCACGCCGCGGUCGAAUACGUUCCGGGCCUU